AUCGCUUCUCGGCCUUUUGGCUAAGAUCAAGUGUAGUAUCUGUUCUUAUCAGUUUACAGGCACGUGCACAGAUAGACCCCUAGUGGUGCUCAAGCACCUGCCCUUUUGCCCUGGAUGAGAAAAGUGCCCUAUCUGCUGGAGCCAAAUUUUUUUCUACAUUCAUCAAUAUUUAAAAAUAAAAAUUACCCUCU
Molecule: small nuclear RNA, 191 nt
Organism: Trichomycterus rosablanca
Lineage: Eukaryota; Metazoa; Chordata; Actinopteri; Siluriformes; Trichomycteridae
Product: U2 spliceosomal RNA
Exons: 1
Source: RefSeq, a predicted model, not a curated record